This 753-nucleotide ribosomal RNA is filed under the name uncultured bacterium. Its description in RNAcentral is "bacterial SSU rRNA". It matches the Rfam family "Bacterial small subunit ribosomal RNA", at positions 47 to 789 of the family's 1533-position model. The record is from RNAcentral.
CCUAACACAUGCAAGUCGAACGGUAACAGGAAACAGCUUGCUGUUUCGCUGACGAGUGGCGGACGGGUGAGUAAUGUCUGGGAAACUGCCUGAUGGAGGGGGAUAACUACUGGAAACGGUAGCUAAUACCGCAUAACGUCGCAAGACCAAAGAGGGGGACCUUCGGGCCUCUUGCCAUCAGAUGUGCCCAGAUGGGAUUAGCUAGUAGGUGGGGUAACGGCUCACCUAGGCGACGAUCCCUAGCUGGUCUGAGAGGAUGACCAGCCACACUGGAACUGAGACACGGUCCAGACUCCUACGGGAGGCAGCAGUGGGGAAUAUUGCACAAUGGGCGCAAGCCUGAUGCAGCCAUGCCGCGUGUAUGAAGAAGGCCUUCGGGUUGUAAAGUACUUUCAGCGGGGAGGAAGGGAGUAAAGUUAAUACCUUUGCUCAUUGACGUUACCCGCAGAAGAAGCACCGGCUAACUCCGUGCCAGCAGCCGCGGUAAUACGGAGGGUGCAAGCGUUAAUCGGAAUUACUGGGCGUAAAGCGCACGCAGGCGGUUUGUUAAGUCAGAUGUGAAAUCCCCGGGCUCAACCUGGGAACUGCAUCUGAUACUGGCAAGCUUGAGUCUCGUAGAGGGGGGUAGAAUUCCAGGUGUAGCGGUGAAAUGCGUAGAGAUCUGGAGGAAUACCGGUGGCGAAGGCGGCCCCCUGGACGAAGACUGACGCUCAGGUGCGAAAGCGUGGGGAGCAAACAGGAUUAGAUACCCUG